Molecule: long non-coding RNA, 557 nt
Filed under: Cucumis sativus (cucumber)
Lineage: Eukaryota; Viridiplantae; Streptophyta; Magnoliopsida; Cucurbitales; Cucurbitaceae
Description: long non-coding RNA (CSAT_LNC003179)
Source: RNAcentral
UGACAACAACAUCUUCUUGCAUUCCUUUUAAUUGUGAUGAACCAACUGUCUUCUUACAUAUAGCAUUAAAGAAGAAGCAUAGUCGAACAAUUACAAGUCUUACAUGUUUCAUAAAAUACCAUGAAUUGCCACAAGUAGCAACUGUUGUAUAAGAACAUGAUGGUUUGUACAAGAAUUUCUUCCCCACUCGAUGUCGUUAAAAAAAUAAUUGAUCUCUAAUUGUAUUCACAUCUAAAGUCUUUGCAUUUACGCAUUUUAAACAAGGACAAGUCAUGACGUUCGACAUCUUUGAAUGUUUCAACCCAUUUUUAAUAAACAUCUCAACCCCAAAAGCAUAAUCAGAGGGAGGCGGUGGCUGUCGUGGAUCUGAACGGUGGAAGAACCUCCGGUCGGCGGCUUCGUGAAUCGGAGAUGAAAAGAAAAAGAGGGGUGGGGCGGCUGGAAGAUGUGAGGAAGAGGAAGAGAAAAAGAAAGAAAAAGAAAAACGGGGAAGGGACGUGCGAGAGAGAGAGAGAGGAGAGAGAAAGAAAAUCUUUGAUUUUCUUUUCUUUUUUUUU